AGACCCGAAACCCGGUGAUCUAGCCAUGGGCAGGUUGAAGGUUGGGUAACACUAACUGGAGGACCGAACCGACUAAUGUUGAAAAAUUAGCGGAUGACCUGUGGCUGGGGGUGAAAGGCCAAUCAAACCGGGAGAUAGCUGGUUCUCCCCGAAAGCUAUUUAGGUAGCGCCUCGUGAAUUCAUCUCCGGGGGUAGAGCACUGUUUCGGCUAGGGGGCCAUCCCGGCUUACCAACCCGAUGCAAACUGCGAAUACCGGAGAAUGUUAUCACGGGAGACACACGGCGGGUGCUAACGUCCGUCGUGAAGAGGGAAACAACCCAGACCGCCAGCUAAGGUCCCAAAGUCAUGGUUAAGUGGGAAACGAUGUGGGAAGGCCCAGACAGCCAGGAUGUUGGCUUAGAAGCAGCCAUCAUUUAAAGAAAGCGUAAUAGCUCACUGGUCGAGUCGGCCUGCGCGGAAGAUGUAACGGGGCUAAACCAUGCACCGAAGCUGCGGCAGCGACGCUGAUGCGUUGUUGGGUAGGGGAGCGUUCUGUAAGCCUGCGAAGGUGGCCUGUGAGGGUUGCUGGAGGUAUCAGAAGUGCGAAUGCUGACAUAAGUAACGAUAAAGCGGGUGAAAAGCCCGCUCGCCGGAAGACCAAGGGUUCCUGUCCAACGUUAAUCGGGGCAGGGUGAGUCGACCCCUAAGGCGAGGCCGAAAGGCGUAGUCGAUGGGAAACGGGUUAAUAUUCCCGUACUUGGUGUUACUGCGAAGGGGGGACGGAGAAGGCUAUGUUGGCCGGGCGACGGUUGUCCCGGUUUAAGCGUGUAGGUGUGUGUUCCAGGUAAAUCCGGUUCACUUUAACACUGAGGCGUGAUGACGAGGCACUACGGUGCUGAAGCAACAAAUGCCCUGCUUCCAGGAAAAGCCUCUAAGCAUCAGGUAACAUCAAAUCGUACCCCAAACCGACACAGGUGGUCAGGUAGAGAAUACCAAGGCGCUUGAGAGAACUCGGGUGAAGGAACUAGGCAAAAUGGUGCCGUAAC
RNAcentral lists this ribosomal RNA (1026 nucleotides) under Salmonella enterica. Its description in RNAcentral is "partial 23S ribosomal RNA". It matches the Rfam family "Bacterial large subunit ribosomal RNA", at positions 711 to 1734 of the family's 2925-position model. Lineage: Bacteria; Pseudomonadati; Pseudomonadota; Gammaproteobacteria; Enterobacterales; Enterobacteriaceae. The record is from RNAcentral.